GGGCAUUGCAACCUGAGCUUCACUCAUUUGCUUCUCAAACAGAGCCUUGUACUUCUCUAGCAGCUGCUUCUUGAAUCUACCAGGGAAUGGAAAUUUGGGUUCAUAAGGAAGAGAAACAAAAGAACUUUCACUUGCUGGAGUAACAACCUCACCAUCCUUUACUGUCUUCUUCUCUUCCCCAACCUUUCCUUUACCUUUGGCUGCCACUAUCUUCU
This 215-nucleotide long non-coding RNA is filed under the name Brassica rapa (field mustard). RNAcentral's name for it is "long non-coding RNA (BRAP_LNC008050)". The record is from RNAcentral. Lineage: Eukaryota; Viridiplantae; Streptophyta; Magnoliopsida; Brassicales; Brassicaceae.